GACGAACGCUGGCGGCGUGCCUAAUACAUGCAAGUCGAACGAGAGCGACCGGUGCUUGCACUGGUCAAUCUAGUGGCGAACGGGUGAGUAACACGUGGGUAACCUGCCCAUCAGAGGGGGAUAACAUUCGGAAACGGAUGCUAAAACCGCAUAGGUUCUUGAGUCGCAUGACUGAAGAAGGAAAAGAGGCUUCGGCUUCUGCUGAUGGAUGGACCCGCGGUGCAUUAGCUAGUUGGUGAGGUAACGGCUCACCAAGGCCGUGAUGCAUAGCCGACCUGAGAGGGUGAUCGGCCACAUUGGGACUGAGACACGGCCCAAACUCCUACGGGAGGCAGCAGUAGGGAAUCUUCCGCAAUGGACGCAAGUCUGACGGAGCAACGCCGCGUGAGUGAAGAAGGAUUUCGGUUCGUAAAACUCUGUUGUUAGAGAAGAACAGCGCAUAGAGUAACUGUUAUGGGGGUGACGG
This 466-nucleotide ribosomal RNA is filed under the name Granulicatella elegans. RNAcentral describes it as "bacterial SSU rRNA". It matches the Rfam family "Bacterial small subunit ribosomal RNA", at positions 28 to 475 of the family's 1533-position model. Lineage: Bacteria; Bacillati; Bacillota; Bacilli; Lactobacillales; Carnobacteriaceae. The record is from RNAcentral.